RNAcentral lists this ribosomal RNA (253 nucleotides) under uncultured bacterium. Its description in RNAcentral is "partial 16S ribosomal RNA". It matches the Rfam family "Bacterial small subunit ribosomal RNA", at positions 524 to 776 of the family's 1533-position model. The record is from RNAcentral.
UACGAAGGGGGCUAGCGUUGUUCGGAUUUACUGGGCGUAAAGCGCACGUAGGCGGAUAGUUAAGUGAGAGGUGAAAUCCCGAGGCUCAACCUCGGAACUGCCUUUCAUACUGGCUAUCUAGAGUCCGGAAGAGGUGAGUGGAACUCCUAGUGUAGAGGUGGAAUUCGUAGAUAUUAGGAAGAACACCAGUGGCGAAGGCGGCUCACUGGUCCGGUACUGACGCUGAGGUGCGAAAGCGUGGGGAGCAAACAGG